CCAAAUAAUUUUAUAUUUACUAUAUGAAAAGUGCUAAUAAAUGGCUGAAAUUUUCAAAUUUGUUUAUAAAUGGAUCCUUUUUGUUUCCCUAUUUCUUGUUAUAGUUGCCAAGGAAGACGAUAUAGAGUGUGUUACUGAUGCCGAUUGUUAUGAAAAACUUCCGGCUCUUCAACGCGCAGUUAUGAAGUGCAUUCAAGGUUUUUGUAAAAUACAUAUCUAGUUAAGACUAUCCUUAAGACGAGACUGUGUAGUAUCAAGGUGUUUGUUGAUGAGAAUAAAAUGGAUUAUAAUUCUCUCGCCCACAUCAUGAUUUUCUUGAAAUUUUAUCAUAUUAUUUCUUAUAUUUAAAUAGGGUUUAAGGCUUCAAUAUUGUAACAUCGAUGCUGAAUAAUUGGUCUUCAUUUAUUUCAUUGGAUCUUGAGAAAAUAUUACAUAUAUUAUUUUAUUACGAGGAUAAUUGUAAGACCUUUAAGAAGUCAAAAUAAUUUAUUUUGGAUGAUGACAUUAA
Medicago truncatula (barrel medic) is the source of this 508-nucleotide long non-coding RNA. RefSeq lists it as uncharacterized. The transcript is spliced from 3 exons. Lineage: Eukaryota; Viridiplantae; Streptophyta; Magnoliopsida; Fabales; Fabaceae. The record is from RefSeq and is a predicted model, not a curated record.